Molecule: ribosomal RNA, 460 nt
Filed under: uncultured bacterium
Lineage: Bacteria
Description: partial 16S ribosomal RNA
Rfam family: Bacterial small subunit ribosomal RNA
Source: RNAcentral
CCUACGGGAGGCAGCAGUGAGGAAUAUUGGUCAAUGGACGGAAGUCUGAACCAGCCAUGCCGCGUGCAGGAUGACGGCUCUAUGAGUUGUAAACUGCUUUUGUACGAGAAUAAUAUUUCUUACGUGUAGGGCUUUGAAUGUAUCUUACGAAUAAGGAUCGGCUAACUCCGUGCCAGCAGCCGCGGUAAUACGGAGGAUUCGAGCGUUAUCCGGAUUUAUUGGGUUUAAAGGGUGCGUAGGCUGGAGGAUAAGUUAGAGGUCAAAGGUCGGGGCUUAACACCGUGCAUGCAGCUGAUACUGUUCGACUAGAGAGCGGAUGCAGCAGGCGGAAUGAGUAGUGUAGCGGGGAAAUGCUUAGAUAUUACUCAGAACACCGAUUGCGCAGGCAGCGUGCUAAGCCGCAUCUGACGCUGAUGCACGAAAGCGUGGGUAGCGAACAGGAUUAGAUACUCCUGUAGUC